RNAcentral lists this ribosomal RNA (253 nucleotides) under uncultured bacterium. RNAcentral's name for it is "partial 16S ribosomal RNA". It matches the Rfam family "Bacterial small subunit ribosomal RNA", at positions 524 to 776 of the family's 1533-position model. The record is from RNAcentral.
UACAGAGGUCUCGAGCGUUAGGCGGAAUCACUGGGCUUAAAGCGUGUGUAGGUGGAUCGUUAAGUACCUUGUGAAAUCCCACGGCUUAACCGUGGAACUGCUUGGUAUACUGGCGGUCUUGAGCCAGCUAGGGGCUACCGGAACAAAUGGUGGAGCGGUGAAAUGCGUAGAUAUCGGGAGGAACACCAGUGGCGAAGGCGGCUUCCUGGACCGGUUCUGACACUGAGGCACGAAAGCGUGGGGAGCAAACAGG